This 253-nucleotide ribosomal RNA is filed under the name uncultured bacterium. RNAcentral's name for it is "partial 16S ribosomal RNA". It matches the Rfam family "Bacterial small subunit ribosomal RNA", at positions 524 to 776 of the family's 1533-position model. The record is from RNAcentral.
UACGAAGGGGGCGAGCGUUGUUCGGAUUUACUGGGCGUAAAGGGCGCGCAGGCGGCUCAUUUUGUCAGGCGUGAAAGCCCCGGGCUUAACCUGGGAACUGCGUUUGAUACUGCCGGACUAGAGUUCGGAAGAGGCGAGUGGAAUUCCCGGUGUAGCGGUGAAAUGCGCAGAUAUCGGGAGGAACACCUAUGGCGAAGGCAGCUCGCUGGGACGUUACUGACGCUGAGACGCGAAAGCGUGGGGAGCAAACAGG